This is a non-coding RNA of Camellia sinensis, 277 nucleotides long. The record is from RefSeq and is a predicted model, not a curated record. Lineage: Eukaryota; Viridiplantae; Streptophyta; Magnoliopsida; Ericales; Theaceae.
CCCCUCCCAAAAAAAAAAAAAAAAAAUUGAGAGGGAGGGGUGACCAUUGGUUCAGUGGUAAAACCUUGGCCUAAUAACCUUGAGGUUAUGGGUUCAAGUCUCGGGGCAACCAUUUUGUGCACUAUCUCAAAAGUUAGGCUGGAACUGGAAUAGCAGAACUUAUAGCUCUUGAGAUGUCAAAACAGACCAAAGCUCAUUUGGAAGAGACGCGUAAGAAGAACUGGCUUGUGGACUCAAAGGUAGUGAAAGUUUCUGUUAGAUUUGCAUAAAAGAAAGA